UCAGUGGUCUGUAAUACAGGUCAUCUCAGUGGUCUGUAAUACAGGUAAUCUCAGUGGUCUGUAAUACAGGUAAUCUCAGCGGUCUGUAAUACAGGUAAUCUCAGCGGUCUGUAAUACAGGUCAUCUCAGUGGUCUGUAAUACAGGUAAUCUCAGUGGUCUGUAAUACAGGUCAUCUCAGUGGUCUGUAAUACAGGUAAUCUCAGUGGUCUGUAAUACAGGUAAUCUCAGCGGUCUGUAAUACAGGUAAUCUCAGCGGUCUGUAAUACAGGUCAUCUCAGUGGUCUGUAAUACAGGUAAUCUCAGUGGUCUGUAAUACAGGUAAUCUCAGUGGUCUGUAAUACAGGUAAUCUCAGUGGUCUGUAAUACAGGUAAUCUCAGUGGUCUGUAAUACAGGUAAUCUCAGUGGUCUGUAAUACAGGUAAUCUCAGUGGUCUGUAAUACAGGUAAUCUCAGUGGUCUGUAAUACAGGUAAUCUCAGUGGUCUGUAAUACAGGUAAUCUCAGUGGUCUGUAAUACAGGUAAUCUCAGUGGUCUGUAAUACAGGUAAU
Long non-coding RNA from Oncorhynchus keta (chum salmon), 549 nucleotides. RefSeq lists it as uncharacterized. The record is from RefSeq and is a predicted model, not a curated record. The transcript is spliced from 4 exons. NCBI's taxonomy places the organism in Eukaryota, Metazoa, Chordata, Actinopteri, Salmoniformes, Salmonidae.